This 254-nucleotide ribosomal RNA is filed under the name uncultured bacterium. Its description in RNAcentral is "partial 16S ribosomal RNA". It matches the Rfam family "Bacterial small subunit ribosomal RNA", at positions 524 to 776 of the family's 1533-position model. The record is from RNAcentral.
CACGUAGGGGGCAAGCGUUGUCCGGAAUUAUUGGGCGUAAAGAGCUCGUAGGCGGCUCGGUAAGUCAGGUGUGAAAUUCCAGGGCUCAACCCUGGAACGCCACCUGAUACUGCUGUGGCUAGAGUCCGGUAGGGGAGCGUGGAAUUCCUAGUGUAGCGGUGAAAUGCGCAGAUAUUAGGAGGAACACCAGCGGCGAAGGCGGCGCUCUGGGCCGGAACUGACGCUGAGGAGCGAAAGCAUGGGGAGCGAACAGG